GACGAACGCUGGCGGCGUGCCUAACACAUGCAAGUCGAGCGAGGUUGCGGAUGGGUGCUUGCACCCUGAAGCUACCUAGCGGCGGACGGGUGAGUAACGCGUGAGUAACCUGCCUUAUACAGGGGGAUAACAACGAGAAAUCGUUGCUAAUACCGCAUAAGACCACGGUAUCGCAUGGUACAGGGGUAAAAGGAGCAAUCCGGUAUAAGAUGGACUCGCGUCCCAUUAGCUAGUUGGUGAGAUAACAGCCCACCAAGGCAACGAUGGGUAGCCGACCUGAGAGGGUGAUCGGCCACACUGGGACUGAGACACGGCCCAGACUCCUACGGGAGGCAGCAGUGGGGAAUAUUGGGCAAUGGGCGAAGGCCUGACCCAGCAACGCCGCGUGAAGGAAGAAGGUCUUCGGGAUUGUAAACUUCUGUCGUCAGGGACGAAAAAGGACGGUACCUGGCAAGAAAGCCCCGGCUAACUACGUGCCAGCCGCCGCGGUAAAAACCAUACUCGCGU
RNAcentral lists this ribosomal RNA (507 nucleotides) under uncultured bacterium. RNAcentral's name for it is "bacterial SSU rRNA". It matches the Rfam family "Bacterial small subunit ribosomal RNA", at positions 28 to 541 of the family's 1533-position model. The record is from RNAcentral.